AUACUUACCUGGCACAGGAGAUAUCGUGAUCACGAAGGUGGUUCUCCCAGGGUGAAGCUCACCAUUGCACUCUGGUGGCGCUGACCCCUGCGAUUGACCCAAAUGUGGUUAACACUAAGCGCAGUUUUUGAUAGCGGGGGCCUGCGUUCGCACUAUCCCCCU
Penaeus indicus is the source of this 162-nucleotide small nuclear RNA. RefSeq annotates it as U1 spliceosomal RNA. The transcript has a single exon. NCBI's taxonomy places the organism in Eukaryota, Metazoa, Arthropoda, Malacostraca, Decapoda, Penaeidae. The record is from RefSeq and is a predicted model, not a curated record.